AUCUUGACGAUAGCAUGCAAUACAAAUAAAGAACACUGACCACUUCGAUUUGACAUUCGUGAAUUGUCGCUUCACGCCUCCCUCGGGUGUUGGGAGGGAAAUCAUACCGUUUUGAAAUUCGCGUGGCUGCAAAUGGUUAAGCAACUGUUACUAGAAAUAUCUUUUCUUACUGUAGCCCUAAAAAACAAAGUUAACCUUUUCUAUAAAAGAAGAAAGAUGGCAAGAUAUCAUCUCUCACACCUCUACUUCUUCCUAUAAAGCACACACUACGUAUCCAACAACAUCGAAGAACUCGAUCAUUUCUGUUUUGGUAUGCAAUUAAUGAUUGUUCUUUUGGUCGGGUUUGUUGCUAUUUUUAAAAAACUCAUGGUUGAUUUAUCUCUAUUUAAUGCAACUCAUGUAGGUACCGACGGUGGUUAUAACCGAAAUAACCGACGAUCGUUAUGUCAGGACGGUGAGUGGUUCCUGGGCAAUCGGAGCUGAUGGAACAUGGUUAUUCAUAUCCAAUCACAAUAAUGCAGUGAGGAGGUUGAGCAUUCGGGAAGGGGAGAAGUUAGCAUUUGUGCGCCAGCUUGUUAGAGAAGCGUACGGAGAGGAAUACGUUGAAGGCCCGCUACACCUGACUUACCAAUGACCUGAUUGGAUGGACAUGGAAACUACCUUUGGUGGGCGCACAAAGCCAGUAACCAUAGCUUCAGAUGAGACAAUGGGAGUGUUUCUAGCUAUGCGUUUUGAGUUGGAGGACUUGAGUUUGUUUGUCUCCAAGCAAACGGUGGAUGGUGGUUCCGAAGAUGGUGGAACAAGUCAGACUUCAAGUUACGGAUUUGCAGAUAAAGGUAAAUCACCUUUAUACGUUAACGCUGAACGAUCACCUAACUACGAGUCCGUUGUGUGGAAAAGGCUUAUGCAUGACGAGGCGGUCCUCCGCUGGAUGCGUUCAACGGAAACAGAAGGUCAAAACGUUGGAGACUCUUCUACCAACGUACAGCAACACCCUGUGAGACCAGCUGUUAAGGCAGCUUCUCCGAUGUUAACGACUGAAAGUAUGGACACAGCGACUGAAGAUGGAGAUCAGGUAAAAUAUUCUGCGUUUAUUAAAUUCAGCCACUCGAAUAUACCAUUACACUACUAAGACAUCUAUUUACGCAGGAAGAAUACUCAACUGUUGUUGAGGCAGAUUUACUUAAAAAUCUGGGGUUACCGUCAAUUAAUUUAGCCACUGAAUCUUACGACUCUCUCAGUGAGGGGGAAGCGUACAACGACGAAAACGACUAUCCCGGGGGCGAGACAAUUAAGGAGUGCAAUUUUUUUGGGCCUUCCGCAACUAACUUGGUGGAACCUCUAGGUGUACACUUGGAUCUCGCGGUACCUUUGCAUGAGGCUCUUGAAGACAUGUGCCUUAACUUCGCAUCUUUCAACAGGGAUGCGGCGCCAACCCUAGACGAACAAGGGGAAGAAGGUACCAAUGACAUAGCAUGUUG
RNAcentral lists this small RNA (1481 nucleotides) under Arabidopsis thaliana (thale cress). Its description in RNAcentral is "ATSL029290". The record is from RNAcentral. Lineage: Eukaryota; Viridiplantae; Streptophyta; Magnoliopsida; Brassicales; Brassicaceae.